GUAGGUGGCAAGCGUUGUCCGGAAUUAUUGGGCGUAAAGCGCGCGCAGGCGGUUCUUUAAGUCUGAUGUGAAAGCCCACGGCUCAACCGUGGAGGGUCAUUGGAAACUGGAGAACUUGAGUACAGAAGAGGAAAGCGGAAUUCCACGUGUAGCGGUGAAAUGCGUAGAGAUGUGGAGGAACACCAGUGGCGAAGGCGGCUUUCUGGUCUGUAACUGACGCUGAGGCGCGAAAGCGUGGGGGAGCAAACAGGAUUAGAUACCCUGGUAGUCCACGCCGUAGACGAUGAGUGCUAAGUGUUAGGGGGUUUCCGCCCCCCCCCUUAGUGCUGCAGCUAACGCAUUAAGCACUCCGCCUGGGAGUACGGCCGCAAGGCUG
RNAcentral lists this ribosomal RNA (376 nucleotides) under uncultured organism. RNAcentral's name for it is "partial 16S ribosomal RNA". It matches the Rfam family "Bacterial small subunit ribosomal RNA", at positions 527 to 896 of the family's 1533-position model. The record is from RNAcentral.